RNAcentral lists this ribosomal RNA (465 nucleotides) under uncultured bacterium. RNAcentral describes it as "partial 16S ribosomal RNA". It matches the Rfam family "Bacterial small subunit ribosomal RNA", at positions 28 to 507 of the family's 1533-position model. The record is from RNAcentral.
GACGAACGCUGGCGGCGUGCUUAACACAUGCAAGUCGUACGGUAAGGCCCUUUAGGGGGUACACGAGUGGCGAACGGGUGAGUAACACUUGAGUAACCUGCCCACAACUUUGGGAUAACGCUAGGAAACUGGUGCUAAUACUGGAUAUGUGCUCCUGCUGCAUGGAGGGGGUUGGAAAGCUCCGGCGGUUGUGGAUGGACUCGCGGCCUAUCAGCUUGUUGGUGGGGUAGUGGCCUACCAAAGCGGCGACGGGUAGCCGGCCUGAUAGGGUGACCGGCCACAUUGGGACUGAGAUACGGACCAGACUCCUACGGGAGGCAGCAGUGGGGAAUAUUGCACAAUGGGCGCAAGCCUGAUGCAGCAACGCCGCGUGCGGGAUGACGGCCUUGGGGUUGUAAACCGCUUUCAGCAGGGACGAAGCUUUUUGUGACGGUACCUGCCGAAGAAGCACCGGCUAACUACGUG